This is a non-coding RNA of Schistosoma rodhaini, 45 nucleotides long. The record is from Rfam. NCBI's taxonomy places the organism in Eukaryota, Metazoa, Platyhelminthes, Trematoda, Strigeidida, Schistosomatidae.
AUCCAACUGACGAGUUCCAAAUAGGACGAAACGCGCAUCCUGGAU